Molecule: ribosomal RNA, 1475 nt
Filed under: uncultured Bordetella sp.
Lineage: Bacteria; Pseudomonadati; Pseudomonadota; Betaproteobacteria; Burkholderiales; Alcaligenaceae
Description: partial 16S-23S ribosomal RNA intergenic spacer
Rfam family: Bacterial small subunit ribosomal RNA
Source: RNAcentral
GGUUUGAUCCUGGGCUCAGAUUGAACGCUGGCGGAUGCUUUACACAUGCAAGUCGAACGGCAGCACGGACUUCGGUCUGGUGGCGAGUGGCGAACGGGUGAGUAAUGUAUCGGAACGUGCCUAGUAGCGGGGGAUAACUACGCGAAAGCGUAGCUAAUACCGCAUACGCCCUUCGGGGGAAAGCGGGGGACCUUCGGGCUCGCACUAUUAGAGCGGCCGAUAUCGGAUUAGCUAGUUGGUGGGGUAACGCUCACCAAGGCGAUGAUCCGUAGCUGGUUUGAGAGGACGACCAGCCACACUGGGACUGAGACACGGCCCAGACUCCUACGGAGGCAGCAGUGGGGAAUUUGACAAUGGGGGAAACCCCGAUCCAGCCAUCCCGCGUGUGCGAUGAAGGCCUUCGGGUUGUAAAGCACUUUUGGCAGAAAGAAACGGCACGGGAUAAUACCCCGUGCAACUGACGGUACCUGCAGAAUAAGCACUGGCUAACUACGUGCCAGCAGGCGGUAAUGUGUAGGGUGCAAGCGUUAAUCGGAAUUACUGGGCGUAAAGCGUGCGCAGGCGGUUCGGAAAGAAAGAUGAAAUCCCAGAGCUUAACUUUGGAACUGCAUUUUUAACUACUGAGCUAGAGUGUGUCAGGAGGGAGGUGGAAUCUCCGCGUGUGGCAGUGGGAAUGCGUAGAUAUGUGAGGAACACCGAUGGCGAAGGCAGCCUCCUGGGAUAACACUGGACGCUCGCGCAUCGAGCGUAAGAGCAAACAGGAUUAGAUACUCUGGUAGUCCACGCCCUAAACGAUGUCAACUAGCUGUUGGGGCCUUUCGCCUUGGUAGCAAAUUAACGCGUGAAGUUGACCGCCUGGGGAGUACGGUCGCAAGAUUAAAACUCAGCGAAUUGACGGGGACCCGCACAAGCGGUGGAUGAUGAUUGUUCGAUGCAACGCGAAAACCUUACUCACCCUUGACAUGUCUGGAAUCCCGAAGAGAUUUGGGAGUGCUCGCAAGAGAACCGGAACACAGGUGCUGCAUGGCUGUCGUCAGCUCGUGUCGUGAGAUGUUGGGUUAAGUCCCGCAACGAGCGCAACCCUUUGGUUUAUUAGUUGCUGCUACGAAAGGGCACUCUAAUGAGACUGCCGGUGACAAACCGGGAGGAAGGUGGGGAUGACGUCAAGUCCUCAUGGCCCUUGCGGGUAGGGCUUCACGUCAUACAAUGGUCGGGACAGAGGGUCGCCAACCCGCGAGGUGGUUUUUCAAUCCCAGAAACCCGAUCGUAGUCCGGAUCGCAGUCUGCAACUCGACCGCGGUGAAGUCGGAAUCGCUAGUAAUCGCGGAUCAGCAUGUCGCGGUGAACAUGCCCCGGGUCUUGUACACCGCCCGUCACACCAUGGGAGUGGGUUUACCAGAAGUAGUUAGCCUAACCGUAAGGAGUGGCGAUUACCACGGUAGGAUUCAGACUGGGGUGAAGUCAAAAUAAGGUAG